AUUGAACGCUGGCGGCAGGCCUAACACAUGCAAGUCGAGCGGAUGAAGGGAGCUUGCUCCUGGAUUCAGCGGCGGACGGGUGAGUAAUGCACAGGAAUCUGCCUGGCAGUGGGGGAUAACGUCCGGAAACGGGCGCUAAUACCGCAUACGUCCUGAUGGUGAAAGUGGGGGAUCUUUGGACAUCACGCUAUCUGAUGAGCCUAGGUGGGAUUAGCUAGUUGGUGGGGUAAAGGCCUACCAAGGCGACGAUCCGUAACUGGUCUGAGAGGAUGAUCAGUCACACUGGAACUGAGACACGGUCCAGACUCCUACGGGAGGCAGCAGUAGGGAAUAUUCGACAAUGGGCGAAAGCCUGACCCAGCCAUGCCGCGUGUGUGAAGAAGGUCUUCGGAUUGUUAAGCACUUUAAGUUGGGAGGAACGGCAGUAAGUUAAUACCUUGCUGUUUUGACGUUACCAACAGAAUAAGCACCGGCUAACUUCGUG
RNAcentral lists this ribosomal RNA (484 nucleotides) under uncultured bacterium. Its description in RNAcentral is "partial 16S ribosomal RNA". It matches the Rfam family "Bacterial small subunit ribosomal RNA", at positions 30 to 507 of the family's 1533-position model. The record is from RNAcentral.